This 104-nucleotide ribosomal RNA is filed under the name Spinacia oleracea (spinach). RNAcentral describes it as "partial ribosomal RNA". The record is from RNAcentral. Lineage: Eukaryota; Viridiplantae; Streptophyta; Magnoliopsida; Caryophyllales; Amaranthaceae.
GCAGUUAUCUGCCCACGGUAAACGCUGGGUAGCCAAGAGCGGAGCGGAUAACUGCUGAAAGCUCUAAGUAGUAAGCCCACCCCGAAGAUGUGAGUGCUCGUCCU